Molecule: long non-coding RNA, 3211 nt
Organism: Esox lucius (northern pike)
Lineage: Eukaryota; Metazoa; Chordata; Actinopteri; Esociformes; Esocidae
Source: Ensembl
GAAAUGGAUGACAAGGUUAUCAGUCCAGAGAAGGUGGAGGAGGCAAAACUAAAGGCUCGCUACCCGAACUUGGGACACAAACCCGGAGGUUCUGAUCUGCUACGCAAACGAUUGACCAAAGGGGUGAGUCCACACUACACAGUUAACCCUGUCCCUUUCUCUCAGGCAGUGUUUACAGAGUUUAACCCGUUGUCUCUCUGCAGCAAAAGUACUUUGAUUCGGGGGACUACAACAUGGCCAAGGCCAAGGUGAAGAACAAGCAGCUUCCUGCAGCCACGUCAGAGAAGAGUGGAGGGGAGAUCACAGGAGACCACAUCCCCACACCCCAGGACCUGCCCCAGAGGAAACCCUCCCUGGUGGCCAGCAAACUGGCUGGCUGAUAAACACACACACACUGUCCUGUCUUUAAACCCUGUCUAUACUCCUAACAGUUACCCAGCUACCCUGGUCCCUGUCUCUCUACCCAACCCCCACCCCACCCUGUGUACUCUCCAGCCCCAGAGAAACUCCUCCCUUGGUGGCCAGCUAAUUGGCACACACCCUACUCAGCUAACCCUAUCUCUGGUUGUGUUCCUCACGCUCAGCACCUCGGGCCACUCAUCCCCGCUUUCCCCCGUUCUCUACUCAGAUGUUAUGGCUCCCUAAUCCCCUCUCCCACCUCCCCUACCCGCUCUGCCCCCUCCUCCCCCCUCUUUUUUCUUAUUUUCUACUUUUGUGUAUAAAUACACUGAAAGGAAGGUUGGGCCUACUACUACAGGAGGUGACUGUAAAGGUGGUUGUAACUCUGUCCCCUAUUACAUCCUAUCCCCUCAAUAACCCUAUGGAAUGCAGUGUAUGGGGAAUAGGGUGCCAUUUGGGAUGCACAUCUGAAGGGUCUAAUACUGGAGCUGCAGAGGGCCUCAAAUGACACCAUAUUCCAUAGGUAGUACAUUAGCAUCAACCAGAGCCCUAUGUGGCUGCCUUAUGAGCCUCUGGCCCAAACGAGUGCACUACUUAGGGAAUAGUUUCCUGUUUGGGACCUGGCCAGACAUAUGGUCUCUGGUUUAGAGGGUAGAAUGUCAUUGCCAGUCCUUUUAGCUGAUCAUGUACAUAUUUCUAAUUGUGUUGGAGAGGAAAACAGAAAUCAGGAUUUUAGAAUGUUUUACUGUAAAAUAUGAUCCUUUACCAAAUGUUGUUAGCAUUGUCCUCAUAUAAAUUAUGCUGUAUUGUGCUUGAGUGAUGGAUUAUGAAUAUAACCAUGGUAAUGACUGACCACAAUCUCUCUGCAGUUGGUUUGUUCUGUUUAAAGACUACAUGUAUGCAUACCUAAUGGCACACUAUUCUGUACAUAUGCAGUGUUUACACAGGCAGCCCAAUUCUGAUGGGUUUUUUUUUCUCACUGUUUUUGACUGAUCACAUCACCUAUGAAGAAGGAAUGUAAAAGGUCCAAUCGGAUUGGUUUGAAGACCAGUUAGUGGAAACAAUGUCACAGUUGGACUGCCUAUGCAAACAAAGAAAAAGUGCAUUAGUUUUGACCAGGGUCUGAAUUGGCACUGGUAGUUAUAAAAGUAGUACACUAUAUAGAGACUUGGGUGUCGUUAGGGUAGCAUACUAGAUCUCCAAUCACCCUACUCUUUAUAUGGUGCUCACCUUCUGAUUAUAACUGCAUAGGGUUGCCACCUAGGCCUUUAGUCAAAGAAUACAUUUUGAAGUACUUUUCACUUUUAACCAGGGCCAAAACAUUAUUCUGGUUAUUUCAAAAGGACAGGAAAACAUGGCCGUAGGGUAAGGUUUAGACCAGACUGGAGAUGAGAUGUAGAUGGAACAGCCUGAAGAUGUGAUGGGGGUGUUCUAAAAGACAUUAGCUUUACAUAAGAUGGUCUCAUACGCCAUCCCUCCUUUCUGUCUUUCACUCACACACACUGCUACCACUAGAACUCUACCAUAUGUACUCUCACACAUGAUUACUCUCCCACUCAUGUCACAUACUCCCUCUCACAAACUAAUUACCUAGUUCUUCAAAGCUAUGAUCACACGUAUUGCUCGGGUUGGGUUGAAUUUCAAGUCACUUGUGGUCCCAACGCCAAGUUACAAUUGAAUGAGAUUUGGGAGUACACCAGAUACCAUAGUAAUGAUGUGAGUGUGGGCGGUGGUGUUGGCUGUUGACUGGCUGUGUCUCCUUAUCCUGAGGUUCUGUAGUAAACCAAGGUUACACCUGCUGUAGUUUUCCCAGAUGCUUGGAACCAUCACGUUUAUUAUAUAAAGCUGUUUUUACGUCUCAAAUUUAAGAUGAUUUAACCAUCUGAAAUUAGACAUUUGACUAGCCACUACUGAAGUCGAAAUAAAACUAAUUAGCUGUUAGGUUACUAGCAUGCUCAUUUGUAAACAUUGUCCCUAGUUUUCUCAGCUCCAACAAGUGAGAAGAUGUCAAAUAACCGUUCUUGAGAGCAAAUUAAUUAGCUUGAGAGCAAAUUAAUCAGACUUUACCAUUCAGAAACAGAUCACACAGCCAGGGAUUUAUUCCUGAUUUCAAACUAAGGUUUGAAAAGUGGGGACAAUAAAAUUGAUGCUAUGUGACUUUGUACCUGCUCAAACUAAAUUAAAAAGCCUGAUUUGAUUAAGAUAUGGGGACAUUUUUGUCUCUUCCAUCUGCCGGUGUGAGCCAGGCUUAGUUCUACAAUCUGUACACAACCCAGUCCACUAGUGGAGCUGAAGGUGUGGUCAUCAAGUGUCUGAAGCUGAAGCACUACAACAGGAACCUGGCUCCUGGAAUGCUUACGAAUCUGCAGGGGUUUAUUUAUUAAGCCAACAAAACCUUGUAGUUACAAAUCAUUAAAACUGGGAGGGUCCUGCCUGCAUCCAUCCAAUGGGAACUGUUUGGCCAAAACAUUUAGUAGUAUACAAUGUAAUUGGUCCCGUUCCUCACCUCACUUGAUCUUGAUCAGUUUGGUUUCGGCUAAAAUUCAACACCAGGGGUGCAUUCAGAUAGAAAUAGCAUGUAUUGAUCGAACAUGCCUCUGACAUGAAUGACAAGUAAUUGGAUCAGCUCUGUUCACAACAUUUCUAACUGCAGGACGUUUAAAUGACCGUAGCCCUCCAGCACCAGGGUUGACUACCCCUGCACUACAUUGUUGAGGUUUGAGGUGUGCAUGUAUGCGACUGUCCCCAUACAACCCUCCUGCUGUCACUUUGUGCCAUUUUGUUAUGUAAAUAAAAUAGUUUUGCACAAAUA